AAUCCUAAGGUGCGCGGGAGAACCCUCGUUAAGGAACUCGGCAAAAUGUACCCGUAACUUCGGGAUAAGGGUAGCCGCUGUUGUGAAGUCUGAACAGACGGAGCAUGAGGCGGUCGCAGAGAAGAGGCCCAAGCGACUGUUUACCACAAACACAGGUGCCUGCUAAAGAGAAAUCUGACGUAUAGGUGCUGACACCUGCCCAGUGCCGGAAGGUUAAGGAAGGAUGUCCGGAGCAAUCCAAAGCAUUCGACCGAAGCCCCGGUGAACGGCGGCCGUAACUAUAACGGUCCUAAGGUAGCGAAAUUCCUUGUCGGGUAAGUUCCGACCCGCACGAAAGGUGUAACGAUUUGGGCACUGUCUCAACGAGGGACCCGGUGAAAUUGAAGUACCUGUGAAGAUGCAGGAUACCCGCGACUGGACAGAAAGACCCCAUGGAGCUUUACUGUAACCUGACAUUGGGUUCUGAUACAUCACGUACAGGAUAGGUGGGAGGCAUGGAAGCGAGGACGCUAGUCUUCGUGGAGCCGCCGUUGGGAUACCACCCUUGAUGUAUCGGAAUUCUAACCGUAGGAGUAACGAAACUCGGGACAGUGUCAGGCGGGCAGUUUGACUGGGGCGGUCGCCUCCCAAAGAGUAACGGAGGCGCCCAAAGGUUCCCUCAGCGCGGCCGGAAAUCGCGCGAAGAGUGUAAAGGCAGAAGGGAGCUUGACUGAGAGCCAAACACGGCAAUCAGGUACGAAAGCAGGGCUUAGUGAUCCGGUGGCAUCCAAGUGGAAGGGCCAUCGCUCAACGGAUAAAAGCUACCCUGGGGAUAACAGGCUAAUCUCUCCCAAGAGUCCAUAUCGACGGGGAGGUUUGGCACCUCGAUGUCGGCUCAUCACAUCCUGGGGCUGAAGUCGGUCCCAAGGGUUGGGCUGUUCGCCCAUUAAAGUGGUACGUGAGCUGGGUUCAGAACGUCGUGAGACAGUUCGGUCCCUAUCCAUCGCGGGCGCUAGAGAUUUGAAGGGGGCUGCUCCUAGUACGAGAGGACCGGAGUGGACGAACCAAUGGUGUACCAAUUAUCUCGCCAGAGGUAUAGUUGGGUAGCUACGUUCGGAAAGGAUAAACGCUGAAAGCAUCUAAGCGUGAAACCAGCCUUAAGAUGAGAUCUCUCAUAGAGCAAUCUAGUAAGACACCUUGGAGAAGACGAGGUUGAUAGGUCGGGAGUGUAAGUACAGUAAUGUAUUCAGCGGACCGAUACUAAUAUGUCGAGGGCUUGAUU
Molecule: ribosomal RNA, 1261 nt
Filed under: metagenome
Description: bacterial LSU rRNA
Rfam family: Bacterial large subunit ribosomal RNA
Source: RNAcentral